GACGAACGCUGGCGGCGUGCCUAAUACAUGCAAGUAGAACGCACAGUUUAUACCGUAGCUUGCUACACCAUAGACUGUGAGUUGCGAACGGGUGAGUAACGCGUAGGUAACCUGCCUGGUAGCGGGGGAUAACUAUUGGAAACGAUAGCUAAUACCGCAUAAUAUUAAUUAUUGCAUGAUAAUUAAUUGAAAGGUGCAAUUGCACCACUACCAGAUGGACCUGCGUUGUAUUAGCUAGUAGGUGAGGUAACGGCUCACCUAGGCGACGAUACAUAGCCGACCUGAGAGGGUGAUCGGCCACACUGGGACUGAGACACGGCCCAGACUCCUACAGGAGGCAGCAGUAGGGAAUCUUCGGCAAUGGACGAAAGUCUGACCGAGCAACGCCGCGUGAGUGAAGAAGGUUUUCGGAUCGUAAAGCUCUGUUGUAAGAGAAGAACGGGUGUGAGAGUGGAAAGUUCACACUGUGACGGUAUCUUACCAGAAAGGGACGGCUAACUACGU
Molecule: ribosomal RNA, 504 nt
Filed under: uncultured bacterium
Lineage: Bacteria
Description: partial 16S ribosomal RNA
Rfam family: Bacterial small subunit ribosomal RNA
Source: RNAcentral